RNAcentral lists this transfer RNA (88 nucleotides) under Hadesarchaea archaeon. RNAcentral's name for it is "tRNA-Leu". It matches the Rfam family "tRNA". From Rfam's summary of the family: Transfer RNA (tRNA) molecules are approximately 80 nucleotides in length. Their secondary structure includes four short double-helical elements and three loops (D, anti-codon, and T loops). Lineage: Archaea; Methanobacteriati; Hadarchaeota (SeqCode); Hadarchaeia (SeqCode). RNAcentral also lists the same sequence under 3 other names. The record is from RNAcentral.
GCGGGGGUAGCCAAGUCAGGUCAAAGGCGUGAGGUUUAGGACCUCAUCCCGAAGGGGUUCGCAGGUUCGAAUCCUGUCCCCCGCACCA